This 211-nucleotide ribosomal RNA is filed under the name uncultured bacterium. RNAcentral describes it as "partial 16S ribosomal RNA". It matches the Rfam family "Bacterial small subunit ribosomal RNA", at positions 505 to 712 of the family's 1533-position model. The record is from RNAcentral.
GUGCCAGCCGCCGCGGUAAUACGUAGGGUGCAAGCGUUAAUCGGAAUUACUGGGCGUAAAGCGUGCGCAGGCGGUUUUGUAAGUCUGUCGUGAAAGCCCCGGGCUCAACCGUGGGAAUUGCGAUGGAGACUGCAAGGCUUGAAUCUGGCAGGAGGGGGGUAGAACUUCCACGUGUAGCAGUGAAAUGCGUAGAGAUGUGGAGGAACACCGA